Dermacentor albipictus is the source of this 527-nucleotide long non-coding RNA. RefSeq lists it as uncharacterized. The record is from RefSeq and is a predicted model, not a curated record. Lineage: Eukaryota; Metazoa; Arthropoda; Arachnida; Ixodida; Ixodidae.
GCCGAAUUCUAGCGUAUAUAAGGUGGGUAGACCGGGCACCGGUACCACAACCUACCAGUGAAAAGUCUGAUAAGCCUCGCUCUCCUCACUUGAACAGAACGCAAUGCAUCUUUACUGGGUACUUUUGGCGGCCGCCCUGGCCACUGGAGUAGCAGCUGGCGGCUACGGUCACGCAUCCCUUUCUUAUAUCUCCAAACCAGUAGUCAGGGUUGGCUAUGUAUCCAAGCCAAUUGUGACGUAUGUCAAGCAGCCGGUGGCCACGGUAUCCCACGUAGUCAAGCCUGUACUCACUAUCAGUCACGGCUACGGAGGUGGCUAUGGAGGCGGGUACGGAGGCGGCUACGGAGGAGGAUAUGGUGGCGGAUACGGUGGCGGACACGGAUACUGGCGCUAGCCUCUGGGCAGGCUUUCACCAAAAAGGGCGCCAUUCUAUUUUCACCCGACGCCCGAACGCCAGCGAUAAUUUUCACUGCUUUCAUGAUUGUUGCUUUCUCUUGUGCGAAUGAAUAAACCACUACGCAUCUGCA